RNAcentral lists this ribosomal RNA (500 nucleotides) under uncultured bacterium. Its description in RNAcentral is "partial 16S ribosomal RNA". It matches the Rfam family "Bacterial small subunit ribosomal RNA", at positions 30 to 523 of the family's 1533-position model. The record is from RNAcentral.
AUUGAACGCUGGCGGCAUGCCUUACACAUGCAAGUCGAACGGCAGCGCGGGAGCAAUCCUGGCGGCGAGUGGCGAACGGGUGAGUAAUAUAUCGGAACGUGCCCUAGAGUGGGGGAUAACUAGUCGAAAGAUUAGCUAAUACCGCAUACGAUCUACGGAUGAAAGUGGGGGAUCGCAAGACCUCAUGCUCGUGGAGCGGCCGAUAUCUGAUUAGCUAGUUGGUAGGGUAAAAGCCUACCAAGGCCACGAUCAGUAGCUGGUCUGAGAGGACGACCAGCCACACUAGGACUGAGACACCGCCCAGACUCCUACGGGAGGCAGCAGUGGGGAAUUUUGGACAAUGGGGGAAACCCUGAUCCAGCAAUGCCGCGUGUGUGAAGAAGGCCUUCGGGUUGUAAAGCACUUUUGUCCGGAACGAAACGGGCCGAGCUAAUAUCUUGGCCUAAUGACGGUACCGGAAGAAUAAGCACCGGCUAACUACGUGCCAGCCGCCGCUGUAA